AGGCGGUAUGGCCAAGUGGUAAGGCAGAGGAUUGCAAAUUCUUUAUCCCCAGUUCGAAUCUGGGUGCCGCCUA
Molecule: transfer RNA, 73 nt
Filed under: Galaxaura rugosa
Lineage: Eukaryota; Rhodophyta; Florideophyceae; Nemaliales; Galaxauraceae
Description: tRNA-Cys
Rfam family: tRNA
About the family: Transfer RNA (tRNA) molecules are approximately 80 nucleotides in length. Their secondary structure includes four short double-helical elements and three loops (D, anti-codon, and T loops).
Source: RNAcentral